GACGAACGCUGGCGGCGUGCCUAACACAUGCAAGUCGAACGGAGAUACGAUUUCGGUUGUAUCUUAGUGGCGAACGGGUGAGUAACGCGUGAACAACCUGACUCUUAGAGGGGGAUAACACUCGGAAACGGGUGCUAAUACCGCAUAAGACCACGACCCGGCAUCGGGAUGAGGUCAAAGGAGCAAUCCGCUGAGAGAGGGGGUCGCGUCCCAUUAGAUAGAUGGCGGGGUAACGGCCCACCAAGGCGACGAUCAGUAGCCGGUCUGAGAGGAUGAGCGGCCACAUUGGGACUGAGACACGGCCCAAACUCCUACGGGAGGCAGCAGUGGGGAAUCUUCCGCAAUGGACGAAAGUCUGACGGAGCAACGCCGCGUGAGUGAAGAAGGUUUUCGGAUCGUAAAGCUCUGUUGUUUGAGACGAAUGUGCCUGUUUCGAAUAGGGAUAGGUAAUGACGGUAUUAAACGAGAAAGCCACGGCUAACUACGUGCCAGCAGCCGCCGUAA
RNAcentral lists this ribosomal RNA (504 nucleotides) under uncultured bacterium. RNAcentral describes it as "partial 16S ribosomal RNA". It matches the Rfam family "Bacterial small subunit ribosomal RNA", at positions 28 to 523 of the family's 1533-position model. The record is from RNAcentral.